This 216-nucleotide unclassified non-coding RNA is filed under the name Hevea brasiliensis (rubber tree). Lineage: Eukaryota; Viridiplantae; Streptophyta; Magnoliopsida; Malpighiales; Euphorbiaceae. The record is from RNAcentral.
GCACCUUAUUGCAAGGGUUUUCUCAUUGAAGUGAAAAGUGAGAAAUCGCAACUUUAAUUUUAAGAAAAAUUACAGAAAACUAUUUAAUUUGAAAAACAAAAAUUUUUAAAAAUUAUUUACCACUUCUAAUCCAAAAAUUUAGGAUUUGGGAUCCAUAUACGUAUUGAAAAAGUGUUAAGCACUCCACAAUUGUCUCUAAACAGAGUAGGUAGAUUU